This 992-nucleotide ribosomal RNA is filed under the name Thelebolus sp. RNAcentral describes it as "SSU rRNA". It matches the Rfam family "Eukaryotic small subunit ribosomal RNA", at positions 58 to 1058 of the family's 1831-position model. The record is from RNAcentral. Lineage: Eukaryota; Fungi; Ascomycota; Leotiomycetes; Thelebolales; Thelebolaceae.
UUCUAGUAUAAGCAAUCUAUACAGUGAAACUGCGAAUGGCUCAUUAAAUCAGUUAUCGUUUAUUUGAUAGUACCUUACUACUUGGAUAACCGUGGUAAUUCUAGAGCUAAUACAUGCUAAAAACCUCGACUUCGGAAGGGGUGUAUUUAUUAGAUAAAAAACCAAUGCCCUUCGGGGCUCCUUGGUGAUUCAUGAUAACUUAACGAAUCGCAUGGCCUUGUGCCGGCGAUGGUUCAUUCAAAUUUCUGCCCUAUCAACUUUCGAUGGUAGGAUAGUGGCCUACCAUGGUUUCAACGGGUAACGGGGAAUUAGGGUUCUAUUCCGGAGAGGGAGCCUGAGAAACGGCUACCACAUCCAAGGAAGGCAGCAGGCGCGCAAAUUACCCAAUCCCGACACGGGGAGGUAGUGACAAUAAAUACUGAUACAGGGCUCUUUUGGGUCUUGUAAUUGGAAUGAGUACAAUUUAAAUCCCUUAACGAGGAACAAUUGGAGGGCAAGUCUGGUGCCAGCAGCCGCGGUAAUUCCAGCUCCAAUAGCGUAUAUUAAAGUUGUUGCAGUUAAAAAGCUCGUAGUUGAACCUUGGGCCUGGUUGGUCGGUCCGCCUCGCGGCGUGCACUGAUCCGACCGGGCCUUUCCUUCUGGGGAACCGCAUGCCCUUCAUUGGGUGUGUUGGGGAUCCAGGACUUUUACUUUGAAAAAAUUAGAGUGUUCAAAGCAGGCAUAUGCUCGAAUACAUUAGCAUGGAAUAAUAGAAUAGGACGUGUGGUUCUAUUUUGUUGGUUUCUAGGACCGCCGUAAUGAUUAAUAGGGAUAGUCGGGGGCAUCAGUAUUCCGUUGUCAGAGGUGAAAUUCUUGGAUUUACGGAAGACUAACUACUGCGAAAGCAUUUGCCAAGGAUGUUUUCAUUAAUCAGUGAACGAAAGUUAGGGGAUCGAAGACGAUCAGAUACCGUCGUAGUCUUAACCAUAAACUAUGCCGACUAGGGAUCGGGC